GACGAACGCUGGCGGCGUGCCUAACACAUGCAAGUCGAACGGAAAACAUAGCAAUAUGUUUUUAGUGGCGAACGGGUGAGUAACGCGUAGACAACCAACCUUUUUGUGGGGGACAACACUUCGAAAGGAGAGCUAAUACCGCAUACGCUCCAGAUGCCGCCUGGUGUUUGGAGGAAAGGAGCUUUACGGCUUCGCAAAAAGACGGGUCUGCGUCUGAUUAGCUAGUUGGAGGGGUAACGGCCCACCAAGGCGACGAUCAGUAGCCGGUCUGAGAGGAUGGACGGCCACACUGGGACUGAGACACGGCCCAGACUCCUACGGGAGGCAGCAGUGGGGAAUCUUCCGCAAUGGACGAAAGUCUGACGGAGCGACGCCGCGUGAGUGAUGAAGGCCCUUGGGUCGUAAAGCUCUGUCAUCAGGGACGAACGGUCACGUCAGGAAAUGGGCGUGAAUUGACGGUACCUGAGAAGGAAGCCACGGCUAACUACGUGCCAGCAGCCGCCGCG
RNAcentral lists this ribosomal RNA (506 nucleotides) under uncultured bacterium. RNAcentral describes it as "partial 16S ribosomal RNA". It matches the Rfam family "Bacterial small subunit ribosomal RNA", at positions 28 to 522 of the family's 1533-position model. The record is from RNAcentral.